RNAcentral lists this ribosomal RNA (745 nucleotides) under Mirobaeoides sp. OSUC 339557. RNAcentral's name for it is "partial 28S ribosomal RNA". It matches the Rfam family "Eukaryotic large subunit ribosomal RNA", at positions 525 to 915 of the family's 3401-position model. The record is from RNAcentral. RNAcentral also lists the same sequence under 1 other name. Lineage: Eukaryota; Metazoa; Arthropoda; Insecta; Hymenoptera; Scelionidae.
CCCGAAAGAUCGAAUGGGGAGACUCAUCGUCAGCGGAGUUGGCUUCCGUGCGGAUCGCGAUGUUCUAAGACUUAUUUGUCGACGAGCACGCGUUCGCUGCGGUAUGUCCGGCUACGUCGGCGUGCACUUCUCCUCUAGUAGAACGUCGCGACCCGCUGGGUGUCGGUUUAAGGUCCAAGAUCGUCGACUGUUCCGUCGUUUCACGACGUACGGAUACAGACGCUUGGUUUCCCGACCGGCUGCUCGGCGGUACGCAAGCACGGUAUAGAGCCGCACUCGAAUGCGUUCAGGCCCGUUGCAAGCUCGACCAUAUCUCGAAUUCCCGGAGUGCGGACCUGGUGCCGUACCCGGGCGUGGUCAGCUGUUUGUUAACGGUGUUCUCGAACAGGCUAAAUUUGAAUUAACGAUACCGGUCGGCGACGCUUAUGCUUUGGGUACUUUCAGGACCCGUCUUGAAACACGGACCAAGGAGUCUAACAUGUAAGCGAGUCAUUGGGAUAACGAAACCUAAAGGCGUAUUGAAAGAAAAGAUCGACCCUGCGUCGAUCGAGGGAGGAUGGGCCUCGUUUAGAUGAGGCUCCGCACUCCCGGGGCGUCUCGUUCUCGUUACGAGUUGAGGCGCACCCAGAGCUUACACGUUGGGACCCGAAAGAUGGUGAACUAUGCCUGGUCAGGACGAAGUCAGGGGAAACCCUGAUGGAGGUCCGUAGCGAUUCUGACGUGCAAAUCGAUCGUCGGAACUGGG